RNAcentral lists this ribosomal RNA (483 nucleotides) under uncultured bacterium. RNAcentral describes it as "partial 16S ribosomal RNA". It matches the Rfam family "Bacterial small subunit ribosomal RNA", at positions 30 to 506 of the family's 1533-position model. The record is from RNAcentral.
AUUGAACGCUGGCGGCAGGCCUAACACAUGCAAGUCGAGCGGAUGAAGGGAGCUUGCUCCUGGAUUCAGCGGCGGACGGGUGAGUAAUGCCUAGGAAUCUGCCUGGUAGUGGGGGAUAACGUCCGGAAACGGGCGCUAAUACCGCAUACGUCCUGAGGGAGAAAGUGGGGGAUCUUCGGACCUCACGCUAUCAGAUGAGCCUAGGUCGGAUUAGCUAGUUGGUGGGGUAAAGGCCUACCAAGGCGACGAUCCGUAACUGGUCUGAGAGGAUGAUCAGUCAAACUGGAACUGAGACACGGUCCAGACUCCUACGGGAGGCAGCAGUGGGGAAUAUUGGACAAUGGGCGAAAGCCUGAUCCAGCCAUGCCGCGUGUGUGAAGAAGGUCUGCGGAUUGUAAAGCACUUUAAGUUGGGAGGAAGGGCAGUAAGUUAAUACCUUGCUGUUUUGACGUUACCAAAAGAAUAAGCACAGGCUAACUUCGU